RNAcentral lists this ribosomal RNA (1743 nucleotides) under Triticum aestivum (bread wheat). RNAcentral's name for it is "partial small subunit ribosomal RNA". The record is from RNAcentral. Lineage: Eukaryota; Viridiplantae; Streptophyta; Magnoliopsida; Poales; Poaceae.
AUGAAGACGGGCCGUACUGGGCCACCACUCGAGCCACGCCGCAGGCCGCAGGCAGGCAAGUCUGGGGACCCCCGUUCCCAGAACGCCGACAGUAGCCCCCGGGCCCAAGGCACGCUCAGACUUGGCUUAGCGGAGAAGCGAAGGGGCAAGCGCGGAGCGCCGCGGGCCCCAUCAGCCUGCGGCCUUGGGCGCCGCGUGGUGGUUGAUUGGACGUGGGCGCCUCUGCUUCCCCACGCUGCCUCGGCAACUGCUCGACUGACAAAAGGCUGGCUCUGGGUUAGCCUUACCUCAUUACCCUCGUUCUCCUUGCUCCAGAUCCCCUUCCUUGCUCUCCGCCUACCUGCCUCCAAAAUCUCCAGAUCUGCCGCAUUCUUUCUCCUCCGGCGAACUAUGGCCCCCCGCAAGACCCUGGCUGGGGCUGCAUCGGCCUGGUACUCGUCGGCCCUGGUCUCUCCCAAUGUGACUGAGAAGAAUCUCGCCCUCACGCGCCGGAUGGCAGCGUCGCAGAUCAACGAGUUCGGGGAGACUGCGCUCCGUCUUGGCUCCGCCCAGCCGAAGGACAAGGGGAGCGCCUUCUAUCCCUUCUUCAUGAACGCCGUCAUCGCUGGUCUGGUUCCUCCCUUCUCUGAGUUCUUCCUUGCUGUCCUUCGCCAAUAUCAGUUGCAUGCUCUGCACAUCCACCCCAACUCCAUCCUCCUCUUGUCGAUCUUCGCCUACUAUUGCGAGGCACACGUCGGGGUGGCGCCCUCCGUGGCCUUGCUGCGCCACUUCUUCUCCCACCGGGUCUCCGGCGGCAAUAUCUCAGCGUGCGCGAGUUUCGUCGCGUACUCCAAGUCCAACGCCAUCUCGAAGGCCGGGAAGAGGGCCGAGGGCUUCCGGAGCAAGUGGGUUAUGGUGAACGCUGGGUGCCACAACCCUCUGCUGGAGCUGUCGACAAAGUGGCCCGAGGCCGCUGAGGCGUGGUCCCGCGCGAAGCUCGAUGAUCGGCGGGCGAAGCAGGUGUUGGAGAAGAUGAACGCCGACCUCAGGCCGGGCAGCCUGAGGGCGGCGAAGCUGACCGGGGCUUCGCUCCUGAGGAAGUUUCUGUCGCACCAGGUGGCCCCUCUUCAGGCGCACUCGCGCUCGCUGUGGAGGCUCGCGGAUGCGGAUGUCGUCCUCCGCCUGAGCUUGGACGCCCUGAGCGACGAGGACCUGACCGCGGCCCUGCGCUGCUUGGUUGGAGAGGAAGUGGCAGGCCCGGUGGGUGCUCCGGUCCCUUUGUUCCUCCGUGAUGACUGGGAGCUGGUGGUGGAUGCCAUGCCCACCUUCGACGAGGUCGGCCUGGUGCCGGCGGAGGAUCCUGAGGGUCAGGCGACGGCGACGGUGAACCUAUCCUCCGGUGAAUCCAGUGGAGAAGAGGAAGGAGAUGACGACGAUGACGAGGAGCGCGACUCGGAGGUGACCUUCGAGGGGACGGGGGAGACUUCUCCCCAGCGUAGGGUGAGCACCCUCCGCUCCAUGCCUGACGACGACGAGGCCGACGCCAGGCGGGGAGGGGAGGACGCGCCCCUGGUCCCAAGGAAGGACAGGUCCGGGCUGAUCUCCCGAGGGGCCACCCCGGCCCCUGCAUCGGCCGAAGUCAGCUCCGGCCCUUCAGGCGCGCCUUCUCUUGCGACUGGGCCUCCCAAGGCUAAGCCCCGCAAGAGGCUUUUAGGCUUCAAGCUUGGCCGGGGUCCGUGGGAUCCCGCGGCAGUCAACAAGUAA